UUACGUGUCUUCUUCUGGUAAAAUGGAUAUGCAUGUCUUCCUCCUCCUAUGUCUUCCUCCCGAUUCUUCAUUUAUAAUGAUUCCCUAUUUGCACAUGGAAGUUACUCUCUUCAUCCUUCUCCAGGGUUUUUGUGAGUCGAUAUUUCUAUCGAGUAUCGGCAGGACAAUUGGCACAAGCCUACAGUCGUUCUACAGGAGGUUAAAACUUUGAGAGAGAUGGCAGAGAUAUCUUUUUGCACAUCUCGAAUUUUAUCUUAACAUCAUGCAAAAUUUUUCUGUACUAAUAAUAUAUUUUCAACUAUGUUUCUUCCUUCCAUAAAACCUGCUUGCUGGAGAGAUGAUUGUUGGCAGUAGGUAUACCAGUCUUUUAUUACAUUGUUGCUAUGGGGGAGAGCUAACUCACAUGGCUUUGGUCAUAAAGUUCAAUAAAUUAAAAAACGCAAUAUGUUCAAUAGUAGGUGUGUUCUGCAUCACACUGAUGUGAUCAAGUUUCUAGGUGUGUUCUACAGUUAUUGCAUUAUGGAGUGCCUCAUUUUUGUUGAUGAUGCAUCGGGAAUAGCUGAUCGUACAACGAUAAAAGAAUAUUUCUUCCAUAUCCAUAAUUAAUGGAUAUUUCAAGUAGAAGAGCUCACCUAUUGUUUCACAUUUGAAUUUCUCUUACA
This is a non-coding RNA of Solanum lycopersicum (tomato), 662 nucleotides long. The record is from RefSeq and is a predicted model, not a curated record. NCBI's taxonomy places the organism in Eukaryota, Viridiplantae, Streptophyta, Magnoliopsida, Solanales, Solanaceae.